GUCCUUUUGAAGAUUUAUUUAAGGUCUAGCCUGCCCAAUGAGGAUUUGAAUGGCCGCGGUAUAUUAACUGUGCUAAGGUAGCAUAAUCACUUGUCUUUUAAUUGAGGGCUUGAAUGAAUGGUUGGACGAAGUAUCAUCUUUCUUUAAUUUAUUUUAUGAAUUUAAUUUUUUAGUUAAAAAGCUAAAAUUUUCUUGGGGGACGAGAAGACCCUAUAGAUCUUUAUAUGUAAAGUGAUUAUGUGAUUUAGGAAUAAUUUACUUUAAUUAUUUUAUUUAUUAAGUUGGGGUGACUGUGGAAUUAGUUUAACUUCCAUUUUAACAUUCCAUUAAUUAGUGUUUUAUUGAUCCACUUUUAGUGAUUAAAAGCUUAAGUUACCUUAGGGAUAACAGCGUAAUUUCUUCGGAGAGUUCAUAUCGAUGAAGGAGAUUGCGACCUCGAUGUUGGAUUAAAAUUAGUAAUGGAUGUAGAAGUUCAUUAACUAGGUCUGUUCGACCUUUUAAGUUUU
RNAcentral lists this ribosomal RNA (506 nucleotides) under Tapeinus fuscipennis. Its description in RNAcentral is "partial 16S ribosomal RNA". It matches the Rfam family "Bacterial large subunit ribosomal RNA", at positions 1829 to 2597 of the family's 2925-position model. Lineage: Eukaryota; Metazoa; Arthropoda; Insecta; Hemiptera; Reduviidae. The record is from RNAcentral.